AAUGUCGACGAAUUGACAUAAUAGGCCCAGAAUUGACAGCAAUACAUAAACAACAUACAAGUUCCUGGCAACUAAACAAGAAUGGACGAAAAACUCAAAUAUUCGUUGUUACGAGAUCCCAACGAUGACAUCAGCAUUUGGACAAGGCAUGAAAAGCGUCUGUGGUUCAUGACAUUGUUGAUGGGAACGUGUAUGCUGUACGCGACACGAACAUCAGUUCCUUUUGUUACUGCCAGCUGUUUCUAGCGAAUUUCGAUGGAGCAAAACGGUUUUGGGUGGAUACUUUAGCGAUCGAAUGGGUGGCCAACACAUAAUAUUUGUAGCGGCUAUUAGUUGGUCAUUGAUCACAUUUUGGAUGCCAGAAUUGCUUGUACUAACACCGCGACAAUGGUAUUACACCAUUCUUUUUAUAGUGACAAUAAGAAUAUUGAAUGGCGCCUUACAAGGCGUUCAUUUUCCCAGCAUGAUCAGCAUCACUAGUCAGUAUUUAAAUUCAAGUGAGCGUUCUAGUUUCUUUAGAAUGGUAACGUCGGGUUCGACGCUUGGUACACUGUUGACCGGCAUCCUAGGAUC
Molecule: long non-coding RNA, 573 nt
Organism: Contarinia nasturtii (swede midge)
Lineage: Eukaryota; Metazoa; Arthropoda; Insecta; Diptera; Cecidomyiidae
Exons: 4
Source: RefSeq, a predicted model, not a curated record